GCCUUGGUGGUUCAAUGGUUAAGCACUUGGCUACUAACCAAGAUGUCAGCAGUUUGAACCCACUCCUGGGCU
This 72-nucleotide transfer RNA is filed under the name Loxodonta africana (African savanna elephant). It matches the Rfam family "tRNA". From Rfam's summary of the family: Transfer RNA (tRNA) molecules are approximately 80 nucleotides in length. Their secondary structure includes four short double-helical elements and three loops (D, anti-codon, and T loops). The record is from Rfam by way of RNAcentral. Lineage: Eukaryota; Metazoa; Chordata; Mammalia; Proboscidea; Elephantidae.